Molecule: small nuclear RNA, 104 nt
Filed under: Castor canadensis (American beaver)
Lineage: Eukaryota; Metazoa; Chordata; Mammalia; Rodentia; Castoridae
Source: RNAcentral
AUGCUUACUUUGGCAACACAUAUACUAAAAUUAGAACCAUACAGAGAUUAGCCUGGCCCCUGCAUAAGGAUGACACACAAAUUCUUGAAGUGUUCCAUAUUUUC